GGAGGAACAACCUGCCACACGCUGGAAAGUGAAGGCUGGAGCCUGGAGCCUGGGACGUGGCGGCUGGCUUCGCUGCGGUGGCUGGUGCUUUGGAGGAGUAGGAAGCCAUCAUUCUUCAGAAGGCAAUGACGGAACAGUACCAGCAGCAACUGAAGGACCAGCAGAAGAAUUUCCCUGGCUAAUACCUCCAGUACACUGCUGAGUAGAGUGGUUAAAGUGGAAAUUCUUGCCUUCUCAAACUUUCAGCUUGGGAGCAGCAGAGACGGGGACCUUGGCCUUGGCAAUGGCAGAAGGCCUUUCACUUGUUUCUUGGGGUACCACCUCAGAGAUAUGCAGACCUGCUGCCAAUCAGAUUGAUCAGUCAGGUAUGGAGCAGCUACGUUGUGGGCCCACGCUGGGACCCCUGCCUGGUAAAGAGCAGGGGAUUUGGGGCCAAUAGGGAAGAGAGACUGGGCUCUUCUCCAUCUGUUGGCUGUGGCCUGCUAGAGGCAUGAGCAAAACACUCAGGCUGUUUGUUUCUUCCCCAGCCUGAGGGCAGCAAGGGCAGGAUCACUGCAGCAGUAAUGGCAGAAGGGUUGUCAGUUGCCUCCGGGAACUCCACCCUAGAGAGGCACAGAGCCUCUGUCAGUGAGAAUGUUCAGCCAAGGGUGAGGUGGCUGCACUGUGUGCUUAAGCGCAGGGUUCCACCUGGUGAAGAGAAGGGAGCCAGAAGCCCACAGAGAAGAGAGACUGGGCUUCUCUCCAUCUUGUGGUUGUGGCAUGCUGGAAGUGCUAGCAAAGCAAUCAGGGUCUUCAUUCUUUUCCCAGACCAAGGCCAACAAUGGUGGUACUGCUACAGUGGCAAUGGCGGGGAGCCUAUGGGUUGCCUCUGAAAGCUCCAUUGCGGAGAGAUGCAGAGAUGGUCACUGCCUGAAGUAACCCAUGGGAGUAGUCGGGGGCAGAAUGGCUGUGCUGGGGGCCCACGUCAGGAGACUCUAUACAGUGAAGAGUAGCAGGGAAGGGGACCCACGUGGAAAACAGUUUGUCUACUUUUUCUGUAAGGCAACCGUGGUAUGCUGGAAGCCUAUAGUAGUUCUUGGGCUCUUUAGUUCUUCCCUAGCCUAUGAGAGGUAGAGCCUGGGGCCAUGGCAAUUGCAGAAACAGCAGGCUUGUCAGUUACCUCUGGGAGCUCUGUCUGCAGAGUUGCAACCAGCCUGAGUGCUUAAGUAGGGGUUAAGUGGCUGCGCUGGGACCCAGGCCAGAGGGCAUUUCUAGGCGAGGUGUAGUGGAAGUGGGGCCUCUAUAGGAGAUAGAGUAGAGACAGGAGGUGAGUCUGCUCCUCAGCAUUGUAGGUAUGGCCCCUAUCCUGGGGGCAUGUGAGAGAGCCUGUCCUCCCCUAGUGGCAGAGCUUUAGCAACUGGCAGUGUUGUGGUCAGGAGUCCAAGGCCCUUAGGAUUCCAUGUGGCCCUGACUGGAGGGUCUGCCCAGACUCCAUGCAGCUCUCUGUGUCAGUUGAGGAGCCCUGUGGGGAAGGUGUUGGGGGAUUUUCUGGGCCCAGGAUUUCAAAGAUCAAUGGCAGAAGGGUGAGUCACCAGCAGCUCUUGCUUACUCACCAUUUUCCUACAGUGGAGAGCCUCUCUUAGCUCAACACCAAUUCUGGCUGGGUGGCUUUCCUGUUUCACUCCUCUCUGCUCUUUGUGGGUCACAUUUCUUCCUUGAUAAAUUCUCCAUUUUAAAACUUUACAUACAUUUAUGGAAUCCAAUUGCAAUUUUGUUACAUGCAUGGAUUGCAUAGUGCUAUCAAGGUUCAUCUAUAGCAUUAUCAGAAUUUUAUUUUUUAAAAAAGAUUUAUAGAGAUGAAGUUUUGCU
Molecule: non-coding RNA, 1848 nt
Organism: Macaca mulatta (Rhesus monkey)
Lineage: Eukaryota; Metazoa; Chordata; Mammalia; Primates; Cercopithecidae
Source: RefSeq, a predicted model, not a curated record